AACAGAUAGUCUGAAAUUUAAUGGCGUUUCAUACAAUAAAUCAUCUUAGAAAAAUAUACAUUUUCUGCAUACUUCAUUCUUAUUUAAUUUACAAAAUAUCUUCCUAGGCCCCAUAUUGGUUAUAGUUUUUCAUUCUUAGUGAUUUACAAAUGGGAACAGCUAUACCUGUCUGGGUAUAUUCUCCCAACAUAGGGAAAUGAAUCAUUUAGGGUGCUUCUUACUCUCUGCUCUGGUGCUGUUUAUGACAUCGUUGUAUCACUCUGGCAGCUGCUGCUUGUAUUACCUGCUGGUUGUUUAGCAACCCAGUUGCUUAAGGGCUGUGUGUGUAUAUGUGUGUGUACCUGUGUGCAUGUACCUAGUGUGAUCCCAAUACUGGGGGGAGAGGAAACAGUGACAGAUGCAGGCUGGCGACUACACAUACCCAGAGAGAAGGUAGCAUCUGAUGUCAGCCUGGGCUCUGAGAACCAAGGGAGAGUCUGAAUGUGGAAGAAUCAGAAGAUUUCCCUUAUUCCUGAGGAGAGAAAGUAUGCUCUGGCGUCUCUCUCCAGCAGUUUCUCUGAUAUAGAAAUCAGUAAACAAAGACUGAGUCUCCCAGUCUUUCAAAAAGAAAUACAGUGUUAAAUCAAUGUAUGAGAUUAAAAAUACAUUUACUUUACCUACAGCUAUAUGAAAAAUUAACACCCUUCCAUAUGCAGGAAAUCUGUUUUUAUAAAUGUUUAUGAGCAGGUGACGUUUACGAGGGCCCCUAAUUAGAUUGGCUUGCCGUGUACUGCUGCGUACUGCCACUCGACCUUUGGCAUGAUUCAUUGUUCUGUUUUAUUGAUCUGUAGUUAAUCACUUCUAGGUUUCGAUUUUUCCCUAUCAAAUGAGCUGGGGAGUUCCGGCAUGCUCAGGGCAGCUUUUGAUGCUGUCCUAGGUGUUUCUAAAAUUUAGUGACCACAAAAGUCACUUGGAGAGCUUGUUAAAAAUAUGCAGACUCCGUGGUUGAAUCUCCCAAUGAAACCACUCCUUUAGUUCUGGGUGUGGCCCAGAAAUCUGCAUUUCCAAUGGGUGGUUUAGAUCCAGGUGACUUGGGCGCUGGGGUGGUUGGUGAGUUGAAUGCUUUUUGCCACUGAAUGAAGGAACACUCAUUUUUGGAUUCAAAGAAACGGUAUCUUGGACUCAGUUUAUGUGCCUCCUAGAUUCACUUGGCCCACCUGUUCCCCAAGCCU
This 1211-nucleotide long non-coding RNA is filed under the name Homo sapiens (human). RNAcentral's name for it is "HSALNT0401130". The record is from RNAcentral. Lineage: Eukaryota; Metazoa; Chordata; Mammalia; Primates; Hominidae.